This is a long non-coding RNA of Aotus nancymaae (Ma's night monkey), 1997 nucleotides long. NCBI's taxonomy places the organism in Eukaryota, Metazoa, Chordata, Mammalia, Primates, Aotidae. The record is from Ensembl.
ACAGACACCUGGACUGUUUCCACGUUUUCUCUAGAGCUGAAGGGAGCUAUGACAACGUGAUGUACUGACUCAACAAGAAGUCACCCAUUUCCCAGGAGGAGUCCCGACUGCUGCAGCUGCUCAACAAGGCGUUCCCCUGCAUCACGCGCACCGUGGUGCUGAAAUGGUCCGUCACCCAGGUGCUGGACAUCACGGAGCAGCUGGAUGCCGGUGUGCGGUACUUAGACCUGCAGAUUGCCCUUAUGCUGGACGGCUCUGAGAAGAACCUGCACUUUGUUCACAUGGUAUACACCAUGGCACCGGUGGAGGAAAUGACCACACCUGCAGCUUCUACGGUUUUCAUGGGAGAGGCAGCCACUCAGCCUCCCCCACCCCAGUGAUCCCCACCCUGAAGGUGCUGAGACUUCUCCUGCUCAGAAGCAGGGUCUGAAUUCCUGCAACACAGACACACACUUGUGUUCUCCAUCCCACCCUCCCCUGCAAGCUGCCAUUUGGGCCACCCCUGAGAGCCAUGAGGAGAGCAAAGAUGACCCCAACAGUGAUGUCAACAAGGACUGAUGCGGCUCAGGAAGAUCCUUCAAAAGUUGCUGGAGACAAAGGGAGGUGUCCACCCCGAGGAGAGGCACCAAUGUCACCUUGAUGGGUGACAGUGUGUGAUGGGGACACAUGUAACAUAUCACUGGCACCGAGAGCACCUCAAAAAAAUGCUCAAUAGAGCCUCCUUAGGUAAGCAAAAAGCAAGCUGCCAAAGCACCCACACAGAAUGAGGCCACUGAAACCCGACCACAGCAGCAGGGCGAGGCUGCACCCAAGGGAUGAGACCACUGAAACCUGACCACAGCGGCAGGGUGAGGCUGCACCCAUGGGACGAGGCCACUGAAACCCGACCACAGGGGCAGGGCGAUGCUGCACCCACAGUAUGAGGCCACUGAAACCCGACCACAGCGGCAGGUCGAGGCUGCACCCAUGGGACGAGGCCACUGAAACCCGACCACAGCGGCAGGGCGAGGCUGCACCCAAGGGACGAGGCCACUGAAACCCGACACAGUGGCAGGGCGAGGCUGCACCCACAGGACGAGGCCACUGAAACCUGACUACAGCAGCAGGGCGAGGCUGCACCCACGGGAUGAGGCCACUGAAACCACACCACAGUGGCAGAGUGAGGCUGCACCCAUGGGAUGAGGCCAGUGAAACCCAAGCACAAUGGCAGGGCGAGGCUGCACCCGUGGGACGAAUUCACUGAAAUCCAACCACAGCAGCAGGGCAAGGCUGCACCUGUGGGAUGAAGCCACCGAAACCCGAUCACAGUGGCAGGGUGAGGCUAUGUACACAGGACGAGGCCACUGAAACCGACCAUAAUGGCAGGGCGAGGCUGCACCCAUGGGAUGAAUUCACUCAAAUCUGAUCACAGCAGUAGGGUGAGGCUGCACCUACAAGAUGAGGCCACUGAAACCCAACCACAGUGACAGGGCAAGGCUGCACCCAGCAUAGGGAGAAGAGAUAUCCAUGGAAAAACAAAGCUGUCUUCAACUGCUUGGGAAUUAAUCACCAAAUUCAGGCCAGUGCUGCCUCUGUUGCUUUCAUAAAACACCCAUGUUUUAUGGUUUUUUUUUUUUUUGAUUAAAAAGUUUAUUCAAGGAUAACAUUAGACACAUUGUAAUUACUCCCACUGGAAACAUAGUAUAGAAAAAAAGGUUUGGGGUACAAAAAAGGAAAUUUAACGAGGCAGGUUUUCUUUUUAUUGCAAUGUCAGCCCUAAUUCUUCACACACAGCUGAGGCCAAACAUAAUCUGGAUCUGGAUUUGAUAAUUUAUGUCUUAAGUGGGGCAGUGAAUAUGUUAUUUUUUUCACUUAAUUUUGUAUUUUGAAAUAGUUUAAGGCUCACAGUGGCAAAAGCAGUGCAGAGGAUUCCCGUGUCCCCUUUGCCCGGGGUUGGCCUCAAACUCGGGCUCCAACGAUAGGCAGGAAACAGGUCCAGGCGUUGGUCCGGAGAGCAG